Thamnophis sirtalis is the source of this 170-nucleotide non-coding RNA. The record is from RefSeq and is a predicted model, not a curated record. Lineage: Eukaryota; Metazoa; Chordata; Lepidosauria; Squamata; Natricidae.
CAGUCUGAAAUUGGAAUGUGAGAAAUUAGCGAGCGAAAAAACAGAGAUGCAGAGGCAUUAUGUUAUGUAUUAUGAGAUGUCCUACGGCCUGAAUAUUGAAAUGCAUAAGCAGGCUGAGAUUGUCAAGCGGCUGACUGCUAUCUGUGCCCAGAUUAUCCCGUUUCUCACGC